GUACAACUUCGGUCAUACAUAUUCUAAAACUGGAACGAUACAGAAAAUAUUAGCAUGGUCCCUGAGCGAGGAUCACAUGCAAAAACAAAAGAGAAAAAAAAGCGGU
RNAcentral lists this small nuclear RNA (106 nucleotides) under Centruroides sculpturatus (bark scorpion). The record is from RNAcentral. Lineage: Eukaryota; Metazoa; Arthropoda; Arachnida; Scorpiones; Buthidae.